UACGGAGGGUGCGAGCGUUGUUCGGAAUCACUGGGCGUAAAGGGCGUGUAGGCGGUCUGUUAAGUCUGAUGUGAAAGCCCGGGGCUCACCCCCGGAAGUGCAUUGGAUACUGGCGGACUCGAGUCUCGGAGAGGAGGGUGGAAUUCCUGGUGUAGCGGUGAAAUGCGUAGCUAUCAGGAGGAACACCGGUGGCGAAGGCGGCCCUCUGGACGAUGACUGACGCUGAGACGCGAAAGCGUGGGGAGCAAACAGG
Molecule: ribosomal RNA, 253 nt
Filed under: uncultured bacterium
Lineage: Bacteria
Description: partial 16S ribosomal RNA
Rfam family: Bacterial small subunit ribosomal RNA
Source: RNAcentral